This 1577-nucleotide ribosomal RNA is filed under the name Propithecus tattersalli (Tattersall's sifaka). Its description in RNAcentral is "16S ribosomal RNA". It matches the Rfam family "Bacterial large subunit ribosomal RNA", at positions 440 to 2925 of the family's 2925-position model. The record is from RNAcentral. Lineage: Eukaryota; Metazoa; Chordata; Mammalia; Primates; Indriidae.
ACCAAUACUAGCCUAACUUCACUCCCCCCAACAAAUAUAAAACACUCAACUAAAUCAUUUACCACAAAUCAUUAACAGUAUAGGAGAUAGAAAUUUUACCUAGCGCUAUAGUAACAGUACCGUAAGGGAAAGAUGAAAGAAUAUUUUAAAGUACAAAAAAGCAAAGCCUACCCCUUGUACCUUUUGCAUAAUGACUUAACCAGAAGCAGCUUGACAAAAAGAAUUUCAGUCAGAAGACCCGAAACUAGACGAGCUACUCACAGAUAGUCAUAUAAGGACGCACUCACCUAUGUAGCAAAAUAGUGAAAAAAUCUGCGAGUAGAGGUGAAAAGCCUAACGAGCCUAGUGAUAGCUGGUUGUCCAGGAGAGAAUUUUANNNNNNNNNNNNNNNNNNNNAAAGUACCCACUAAACCUAGCGUAAAUUUAAAAGUUAAUCUAAAGAGGAACAGCUCUUUAGAUCAGGCUACAACCUUCAAUAGAGAGUAAAUAACUUUAACACCAUUGUUGGCCUAAAAGCAGCCAUCAACCAAGAAAGCGUUAAAGCUCAACACACAAUACCCCUCAAUUCCAACAAUUCACACUAAUCUCCUACUAAUCAACUGGACUAACCUAUUAUCCAAUAGGAGUAAUACUGUUAAUAUAAGUAACAAGAAUCCCCAUUCUCCACAGCGCAAGCUUAUAUCAGACCGAAUACUCACUGAUAGUUAACAGCAAAGUAAAAUAAAAUAUACCCUAGAUACCUUACUUCAAUAUAACUGUUAACCCAACACAGGAGCGCAUUAAGGAAAGAUUUAAAAAAGUAAAAGGAACUCGGCAAAAACUAACCCCGCCUGUUUACCAAAAACAUCACCUCCAGCAUAACCAGUAUUAGAGGCACUGCCUGCCCAGUGACACAUGUUUAACGGCCGCGGUAUCCUGACCGUGCAAAGGUAGCAUAAUCACUUGUUCUUUAAUUAAGGACUCGAAUGAAUGGCCAAACGAGGGUUAAACUGUCUCUUACUUUAGAUCAGUGAAAUUGACUUCCCCGUGAAGAGGCGGGGAUACAACAAUAAGACGAGAAGACCCUAUGGAGCUUAAAUUAAAUAACCCACACAGAUACAAAUAAACCUAGCCAACAGGCACAACUACUAUCAACCCUUGGGUUAAAAAUUUCGGUUGGGGUGACCUCGGAGCACAAUAAAACCUCCGAAUAAUUUUAACCUAGACUUCACCAGUCAAAGCAAACUAAAUUACCAACUGAUCCAAACUAAUUUGAUCAACGGAACAAGUUACCCUAGGGAUAACAGCGCAAUCCUAUUACAGAGUCCAUAUCGACAAUAGGGUUUACGACCUCGAUGUUGGAUCAGGACACCCCAAUGGUGUAACCGCUAUUAACGGCCCGUUUGUUCAACGGUUAAAGUCCUACGUGAUCUGAGUUCAGACCGGAGCGAUCCAGGUCGGUUUCUAUCUAUUUAAACGCUUCUCCCAGUACGAAAGGACAAGAGAAACAGAGCCAACUUAACAAAGAGCCCUCAGUUAAAUAGAUGAAGUAAACUUAAUCUAAUAUACCACUAAAAUUCUGCCCAAAACCAGGGCUU